AUACGUAGGGGGCGAGCGUUGUCUGGAAUUACUGGGUGUAAAGGGCGUGUAGGCGGGGAUGCAAGUUAUCGGUUAAAACCCAAGGCUCAACCUUGGGCUUGCCGGUAAAACUGUGUCUCUUGAGUAUAGGAGAGGGAAGUGGAAUUCCCGGAGUAGCGGUGAAAUGCGUAGAUACCGGGAGGAACACCAGUGGCGAAGGCGGCUUCCUGGCCUAUUACUGACGCUGAGGCGCGAAAGCUAGGGUAGCGAACGGGAUUAGAUACCCCGGUAGUCCUAGCCGUAAACGAUGGUUACUAGGUGUGGGUGGUGGUCAAGCCAUCCGUGCCGGAGCUAACGCAAUAAGUAACCCACCUGGGGAGUACGGCCGCAAGGUUGAA
This 377-nucleotide ribosomal RNA is filed under the name uncultured bacterium. Its description in RNAcentral is "bacterial SSU rRNA". It matches the Rfam family "Bacterial small subunit ribosomal RNA", at positions 523 to 898 of the family's 1533-position model. The record is from RNAcentral.